RNAcentral lists this ribosomal RNA (1062 nucleotides) under Pandora delphacis. Its description in RNAcentral is "SSU rRNA". It matches the Rfam family "Eukaryotic small subunit ribosomal RNA", at positions 73 to 1107 of the family's 1831-position model. Lineage: Eukaryota; Fungi; Entomophthoromycota; Entomophthoromycetes; Entomophthorales; Entomophthoraceae. The record is from RNAcentral.
AUUUUAUAGUGAAACUGCGAAUGGCUCAUUAAAUCAGUUAUAAUAUACCUGAUAAUUCUAUACCAGUGGAUAACCGUGGUAAUUCUAUGGCUAAUACAUACGUGAAAGGGCUAUGCUAUGCAUAGCCUGUAGUUAUUAGGUACAAAACCAAUAGUGGGCAACCGCUUUUUGGUGAUUCAUAGUAAACUUAUUGAUCGUUGUCUUUGACGACGUAUCAGUCUAAUUUCUGCCCUAUCAACUGUCGAUGGUAAGGUAGUGGCUUACCAUGGUUGUAACGGGUGACGGGGAAUAAGGGUUCUAUUCCGGAGAGGGAGCCUGAGAAACGGCUACCACAUCCAAGGAAGGCAGCAGGCGCGCAAAUUACCCAAUCCUGAUACAGGGAGGUAGUGACAAUAAAUAACAAUCCAGGGCCCUUUAGGGUCAUGGAAUUGGAAUGAAUACAAAUUAAAACUCUUAAUGAGGAACCAUUGGAGGGUAAGUCUGGUGCCAGCAGCCGCGGUAAUUCCAGCUCCAAUAGCGUAUAUUAAAGUUGUUGCAGUUAAAACGCCCGUAGUCUAACUUUUGGAAGUAAGGGAAUUUAGGGGGAUAGUUGGCCUUGGUUAACUAUUUUUCUGGAUUUCUGAGCUUUCAGAUUUAAUUUCUAGCCUUCGGGUCUAUGAGUAACUUCACUGUUAUGAGUAGAUCAUCUCCCUUAACUGGGUGGGCUAGAAAUGAUUACUUUGAAAAAAUUAGAGUGUUCAAAGCAAGCUUUUUAAGCUGAAUAUAUUAGCAUAGAAUAAUAAAAUAGGAUUUUGGUCUUAUUUUGUUGGUUUUAAUACCAAAAAAAUGAUGAAUAGGUUUGGUUGGGGAUAUUAGUAUUUAAUAGCUAGAGGUGAAAUUCUUGGAUUUAUGAAAGACUAACUUCUGCGAAAGCAUUUAUCAAGGACAAACUCAUUGAUCAAGGACGAAAGUUGGGGGAUCGAAGAUGAUUAGAUACCGUCGUAGUCUCAACCAUAAACUAUGCCAACUAGGGAUUGGGCUCAAUUUUAUUGAGCUCAGCACCUUGUGUGAAAACAAAGUUUU